GAAAUAAAUUUAAUGGAACUUCUAAUUCUAUGUCAGAUAAUUAAAUUUUAUCUUUAUUUCU
RNAcentral lists this transfer RNA (61 nucleotides) under Habropoda radoszkowskii. Its description in RNAcentral is "tRNA-Ser". Lineage: Eukaryota; Metazoa; Arthropoda; Insecta; Hymenoptera; Apidae. The record is from RNAcentral.